GAGACUCUGUGCGCGUGCAUAUCAAUAAGCGGAGGAAAAGAAACUAACAAGGAUUCCCCUAGUAACGGCGAGUGAAGCGGGAAGAGCUCAAAUUUGAAAUCUUAAAGGGUUUCCCUUUACGAAUUGUAGUUUAAAGAAGUGUUUUCUGUUGGAGUUUCGGUAAAAGUUCUUUGGAAUAGGACAUCAUAGAGGGUGAGAAUCCCGUAUUUGACCGUUACUUUCCAGCUGUGUGAUACACUUUCAAAGAGUCGGAUUGUUUGGGAAUGCAGGUCCAAAAUGGGUGGUAAAUUUCAUCUAAAGCUAAAUAUUGGCGAGAGACCGAUAGCGAACAAGUACCGUGAGGGAAAGAUGAAAAGAACUUUGAAAAGAGAGUUAAACAGUAACGUGAAAUUGUCAAAAGGGAAGCGUUUGACACCAGUGUUGUUUAGUUGAAUAUCAAUUAAAUAAUUUUUCGAUUUUAAGUAGUAUUGACCUUAUCAGCUUGCUGCUUUUCUUCUCGGAAAUUAUUGAAUGCACUUUUCAGUUAACAAGUCAACAUCAAUUUCUUUUGUUGUAAAAAGGGUAAGAGGAAGGUGGCUUGCGCUUCGGCUCAAGUGUUUAUAGCCUUUUACCCCUGCAAUCGGAGAGAUUGAGGUACAUGCAGCGUAGACUCCUUCGGGGGUUAGAUACAUUUGUGCUAAGCUAUAGCCUUGUAUAGACAACUUGUUGACUAUGCUCAGUCAUGUAGCUUACUCGCUUAGUGCUAUUUUACCUACGCUUAGGAUGUUGACAGCAGUAUAGACUGU
Molecule: ribosomal RNA, 785 nt
Filed under: uncultured Neocallimastigales
Lineage: Eukaryota; Fungi; Neocallimastigomycota; Neocallimastigomycetes; Neocallimastigales
Description: partial large subunit ribosomal RNA
Rfam family: Eukaryotic large subunit ribosomal RNA
Source: RNAcentral